UAGGGAAUCUUCGGCAAUGGACGAAAGUCUGACCGAGCAACGCCGCGUGAGUGAAGAAGGUUUUCGGAUCGUAAAACUCUGUUGUUAGAGAAGAACAAGGACGUUAGUAACUGAACGUCCCCUGACGGUAUCUAACCAGAAAGCCACGGCUAACUACGUGCCAGCAGCCGCGGUAAUACGUAGGUGGCAAGCGUUGUCCGGAUUUAUUGGGCGUAAAGCGAGCGCAGGCGGUUUCUUAAGUCUGAUGUGAAAGCCCCCGGCUCAACCGGGGAGGGUCAUUGGAAACUGGGAGACUUGAGUGCAGAGGAGGAGAGUGGAAUUCCAUGUGUAGCGGUGAAAUGCGUAGAUAUAUGGAGGAACACCAGUGGCAAAGGCGGCUCUCUGGUCUGUAACUGACGCUGAGGCUCGAAAGCGUGGGGAGCAAACAGG
RNAcentral lists this ribosomal RNA (429 nucleotides) under Gemmatimonadota bacterium. RNAcentral describes it as "Gemmatimonadetes bacterium partial 16S ribosomal RNA". It matches the Rfam family "Bacterial small subunit ribosomal RNA", at positions 355 to 776 of the family's 1533-position model. Lineage: Bacteria; Pseudomonadati; Gemmatimonadota. The record is from RNAcentral.